UUUAUGGAAUGUAAUUUUAUGUAUAUAUUAGCAUAAAAUUAUUAUGUCACACUAUAUAAAAUACAUAGUUUGUUGCCAUUUGUAUCAAAUCCUCCAAAGACACUGAAACAUUUCUGAAGAAAAAAAAAAAAAACUUAGAGAAUGAUGAAUCUCAUCUACUUGGUGAUCUGCAUCGCUUUCCUGAUCCUAAUGGUUGAAGUCAGCUGGGCAGUUCCAUUAGAUACGGAAGAAGAAGACCUCGACCGUCCUCGCAAAUUUAUUGAAUAUAUAGUUGAUGCUUUCAAAAAAUGGGACAAACAAUAUUAUUAGUAAAUGCAACAAUGCAACGCUAUAAGCAAUUUUCAUGGUUUAUGAAUGUGUAAUAAAAGUGGAAGUCGAAUAAAUUA
Molecule: long non-coding RNA, 386 nt
Organism: Biomphalaria glabrata
Lineage: Eukaryota; Metazoa; Mollusca; Gastropoda; Planorbidae
Exons: 3
Source: RefSeq, a predicted model, not a curated record